AAAUGGGAGCCAGCAGGGUGAGUUUGAGGAAGCAGAGACCAGUGACGGCAAGGAGGGGGCAUGGAAAGCAAGCAGAGGAGGUGAACUCUCAGAGUUCCUGUGAGAUAAGCAAACUUGAUGGUGAUUUAAUUCCCUAUAUGGGCCAAAUUGCAAGAUAAAAGCUUUGCUUUAAUCCAAUCUCUUGACAUCUAAACACAGGAGGUCAAGGCUAUGGACAGAUCUAAAAACAUGAGAUUCUCCCCUUCUGGGGCCCCAUAAUUUUUGGACUGCUGUCUGAUCUCUGGAGGACUGAUGAAUCCACACCAAGCAACAGUGGACAGCAGUGUUCUACCUGUGAAAACUUGUUUCUUGUAAGCCCAUCGGGUCUCUCAGGGCACCACUUCUCAUGCCCUUGAAACAGGAGUGAUAUUGGCAGAGAAGGAGCAUUCCCUCCCAUCUGGAAGAAAAGGAGGAUUCAGGCCCUUUGCUUCACUAAGGUCAUAAAAGUCAGAGUGCACAGAGAUGCACUUGCAAUAUGGCAGCCACUGGCUACAGGGGGCUACUGAGCACCUACAUUGUUCUCAGUAUGAACUGAGAUAUGCUGGGGAAAAAUACAAGAAAGUAUUUUAAA
This is a long non-coding RNA of Pongo pygmaeus (Bornean orangutan), 610 nucleotides long. RefSeq lists it as uncharacterized. The transcript is spliced from 2 exons. The record is from RefSeq and is a predicted model, not a curated record. Lineage: Eukaryota; Metazoa; Chordata; Mammalia; Primates; Hominidae.